GGUUAAGCGACUAAGCGUACACGGUGGAUGCCCUGGCAGUCAGAGGCGAUGAAGGACGUGCUAAUCUGCGAUAAGCGUCGGUAAGGUGAUAUGAACCGUUAUAACCGGCGAUUUCCGAAUGGGGAAACCCAGUGUGAUUCGUCACACUAUCAUUACGUGAAUACAUAGCGUAAUGAAGCGAACCGGGGGAACUGAAACAUCUAAGUACCCCGAGGAAAAGAAAUCAACCGAGAUUCCCCCAGUAGCGGCGAGCGAACGGGGAGCAGCCCAGAGUCUGAAUCAGCUUGUGUGUUAGUGGAACGGUCUGGAAAGUCCGACGGUACAGGGUGAUAGUCCCGUACACCAAAAUGCACAGGUUGUGAACUCGAAGAGUAGGGCGGGACACGUGGUAUCCUGUCUGAAUAUGGGGGGACCAUCCUCCAAGGCUAAAUACUCCUGACUGACCGAUAGUGAACCAGUACCGUGAGGGAAAGGCGAAAAGAACCCCGGCGAGGGGAGUGAAAAAGAACCUGAAACCGUGUACGUACAAGCAGUGGGAGC
RNAcentral lists this ribosomal RNA (540 nucleotides) under Citrobacter freundii. RNAcentral describes it as "partial 23S ribosomal RNA". It matches the Rfam family "Bacterial large subunit ribosomal RNA", at positions 1 to 580 of the family's 2925-position model. The record is from RNAcentral. Lineage: Bacteria; Pseudomonadati; Pseudomonadota; Gammaproteobacteria; Enterobacterales; Enterobacteriaceae. RNAcentral also lists the same sequence under 8 other names.